UACGAAGGGGGCUAGCGUUGCUCGGAAUUACUGGGCGUAAAGGGAGCGUAGGCGGAUAUUUAAGUCGGGGGUGAAAGCCCAGGGCUCAACCCUGGAACUGCCUUCGAUACUGGAUAUCUAGAGUAUGGGAGAGGUGUGUGGAACUCCGAGUGUAGAGGUGAAAUUCGUAGAUAUUCGGAAAGAACACCAGUGGCGAAGGCGAACACACUGG
Molecule: ribosomal RNA, 211 nt
Filed under: uncultured bacterium
Lineage: Bacteria
Description: partial 16S ribosomal RNA
Rfam family: Bacterial small subunit ribosomal RNA
Source: RNAcentral